RNAcentral lists this ribosomal RNA (61 nucleotides) under Bacillus toyonensis. The record is from RNAcentral. Lineage: Bacteria; Bacillati; Bacillota; Bacilli; Caryophanales; Bacillaceae.
AGCUCUCUAGCGCCGAUGGUAGUUGGGACCUUGUCCCUGUGAGAGUAGGACGUCGCCAAGC